UACGGAGGGUGCAAGCGUUGUCCGGAUUUAUUGGGUUUAAAGGGUGCGUAGGCGGUCUUUUAAGUCAGUGGUGAAAGCCUCCAGCUUAACUGGAGAAUUGCCAUUGAUACUGGAAGACUUGAGUACAGACGAGGUAGGCGGAAUUUAUGGUGUAGCGGUGAAAUGCAUAGAUACCAUAAAGAACUCCUAUUGCGAAGGCAGCUUACUAGGCUGUAACUGACGCUGAGGCACGAAAAGCGUGGGGGAUCAAACAGG
Molecule: ribosomal RNA, 255 nt
Filed under: uncultured bacterium
Lineage: Bacteria
Description: partial 16S ribosomal RNA
Rfam family: Bacterial small subunit ribosomal RNA
Source: RNAcentral